AAAUGCGAUAAGUAAUGUGAAUUGCAGAAUUCAGUGAAUCAUCGAAUCUUUGAACGCACCUUGCGCUCCUUGGUAUUCCUUGGAGCAUGCCUGUUUGAGUAUCAUGAAAUCUUCAAAGUAAAUCUUUUGUUAACUCAAUUGGUUUCUACUUUGGUAUUGGAGGUCUUUGCAGCUUCACACCUGCUCCUCUUUGUUCAUUAGCUGGAUCUCAGUGUUAUGCUUGGUUCCACUUGGCGUGAUAAGUUAUCUAUCGCUGAGGACACUGUAAAAGGUGGCCAAGGUAAAUGCAGAUGAACCGCUUCUAAUAGUCCAUUGACUUGGACAAUACUUUUAUGAUCUGAUCUCAAAUCAGGUAGGACUACCCGCUGAACUUAAGC
This 377-nucleotide unclassified non-coding RNA is filed under the name plant metagenome. Its description in RNAcentral is "partial contains 5.8S ribosomal RNA, internal transcribed spacer 2, and large subunit ribosomal RNA". The stretch from base 1 to 104 matches the Rfam family "5.8S ribosomal RNA", at positions 51 to 154 of the family's 154-position model. The record is from RNAcentral.